Molecule: non-coding RNA, 402 nt
Organism: Pelobates cultripes (western spadefoot toad)
Lineage: Eukaryota; Metazoa; Chordata; Amphibia; Anura; Pelobatidae
Source: the annotation of a GenBank genome assembly
AAAAUAGCAUGAUUGCUUUAGUAAUUAUAAUUUAUCGGUCCAUGCACCACAUUCCUGGAAGUCCAGAAUAUAGCAAGAAUCCUUUGUCGUUUGAUUCUAUGGAGCCAUUUAACAUUUUGAUUGGUAUAGUUAUACCAAAAGAGAAAGGAGUACAUCGGUAGAUCACAUCUGCAACAGAACCAUUACAGAUUCCUUGUUAUAGCAAUGUCUCUGUGUUUAUGUAUACAGGAGUUCCUUGCUUUGCAGGUAUGUACAUAAUAUGUAGCGUUUAAGAAAAGCUGCAAAUCGUGCUUUAGUACAAGUGUCCCAUGAUGUCGGGUUUCUGAAAGAUUUUGCUGGCCUUUUAUAUUCCAUUCUCUUGGCAGGGCACCUGCUCUUAGUAGGCCGGUAUUGUUAUUAUUU